Molecule: ribosomal RNA, 136 nt
Filed under: Paenibacillus polymyxa
Lineage: Bacteria; Bacillati; Bacillota; Bacilli; Caryophanales; Paenibacillaceae
Description: partial 23S ribosomal RNA
Rfam family: Bacterial large subunit ribosomal RNA
Source: RNAcentral
AGCGUGAAGCCCCCCUCAAGAUGAGAUUUCCCAGUAUGUAAGACCCCUUGAAGACGACGAGGUAGAUAGGUUGGGGGUGGAAGUGCAGUAAUGCAUGGAGCUGACCAAUACUAAUCGGUCGAGGGCUUAUCCUAAA